Molecule: long non-coding RNA, 454 nt
Filed under: Drosophila guanche
Lineage: Eukaryota; Metazoa; Arthropoda; Insecta; Diptera; Drosophilidae
Source: RNAcentral
GAAAAUAUGAUUCGCAUGCAAGGAAGCAUUUAUAAUCAUCUUUUGCGUACGAUCAAUGUAACUUUAAAAAUAAUGUGUUUCUUUAAGCUUCUUGUUCGCUAUGUUAACAUAUUCUUUCGUUUAUAGGUUGAUUCGUUUGUCUAGGAAAAAAGAUGAGCUACCAUAGUCAGAAGAGGCGAAUCAACGUAAAAGGUCCUGCUUGAGAGAACUACCUACCGUUUCGUGAAAUUGGUUUAUAUUGCCCCAUCAUACGCUUUCGCGUGAGAGACUGUUCUGAAGGGACUUCAAUAAAAAUCAACUUUAGAAAUUAAUUUACGAACAAUUAUGUACCUUACCCAUUAUAUAAAUAUCAGAGAAAAAUAGUUGGAAAAAUGUCCUUAACCCAAAGGAAAUUGAAGGGAUGACGAUAGUGCAUAGGGAGAAUAUAAAGGAAGAUAAUGUUUUGUAUUUUAAG